AACUCUUUCCCUUUUCCUUUCCCUUUCUCAUCUCUCUCUCUCUCUCCCCUUAGUCCUCUCUCUCUGAACUCGAACCUUUCGUCCCCAUCCCCCGACCAUCAAAUCCCCUAAACUAGAUCUCAAAAAUCCGUCAAUAAACCACACCCAACGCAGCUUCCCUUACAGAUCUGCUGCAAAACCGCCGCCAAAUCGCUGUCCCUACCGCGCUCUCCCCACUCCCUCCCUCAUUCUUCGACUCUUUACCACCAUAGAUCUGAUGCGCGACCACUGUGAUGCUGCUCAGGGCUGAUCCGCCGGGGUCGAAGGACUGGUCGAAUUGACCUCUGGUCUAGAGAUAUACUAUAAUAAAGCGCGUUUUAGUUGGUUGUUCGGGUAUGGAUUCCCUGCAGUACGUACCACAGUCGAGCACGGCCGAAAUCGAGUUUCCCGUGGGCUUGAGAGUUCUCGUCGUGGACGACGACGUUACAUGCCUGAAGAUUAUGGAGCAAAUGCUUCGGAGGUGCAUGUACCGCGUUACAACUUGCUCUCAGGCCACUGUUGCCUUGAACUUGUUACGGGAGAAGAGAGGUUGUUUUGAUGUGGUACUUAGUGAUGUUCAUAUGCCUGAUAUGGAUGGUUUUAAGCUCCUUGAACUUGUUGGGUUGGAGAUGGACCUUCCUGUCAUUAUGAUGUCAGCUGAUGGAAGAACCAAUUUAGUUAUGAGGGGAAUCAGACAUGGGGCUUGUGAUUAUUUAAUUAAGCCUGUACGUGAAGAAGAGUUGAAGAAUAUAUGGCAGCAUGUUGUCAGGAAAAAGAAGAAUGAAAAUAAAGAAUAUGAGCAUUCGGGUAGUUUGGAUGAUAACGAUCGGCAUAAACGAGGAAGUGAUGAUGCUGAAUAUGCUUCAUCUGUUAAUGAAGGGGCCGAAGGAUUAUUAAAAAUACCAAAAAAGAGGAGGGAUGCUAAAGAAGAAGAUGAUGGUGAACAGGAAAAUGAUGAUCCAGCCGCAGCAAAGAAGCCACGGGUAGUGUGGUCGGUGGAGCUGCAUCAACAAUUUGUUAGUGCUGUGAACCAACUCGGGAUUGAUAAAGCUGUACCAAAGAGAAUUCUGGAAUUGAUGAAUGUUCCUGGUUUAACUAGAGAAAAUGUUGCAAGCCAUUUGCAGAAGUUCAGACUAUAUUUGAAGAGGUUAAGUGGAGUAGCGCAACAGCAAGUUGGGAUUCCCAAUUCGUGUUGUGGGCCUCUAGAACAGAAUGGAAACCACAGUUCCCUAGGAGGAUUUGAUAUUCAGGCUUUGGCUGCUUCUGGUCAUAUUCCUCCACAAACAUUGGCAGCUCUGCAUGCUGAGCUUCUAGGUCGACCAACUGGGACCCUAGUCUCCCCUGGAAUGGACCAGCGACUACUACAGGCAUCCUUUAAGGGACCUGCAGGAAUUUCUAUCGACCAGGGUGUGGCGUACGGUCAGCCUCUGAUUAGAUGUCCAUCCAACAUUUCUAAACAAGUUCCACAAAGCAUCAUAGCUGCUGAGCAUGUUAAUACAGCACAUGGCGGAUGGCCACCUAAUGGCCCUGGUAAUGUGGGACCCCUCACCAAUCUUGGUGGUUUGGGUGCUCAAAGCGGUAAUAUCUUAAUGGGUAUGUUACAGCAGCAGCAGAAACAGACCUUACAAUCAGAACCCAGCCGUUCAAUUAAUGUGCAGCCUUCUUGUCUGGUGGUUCCCUCUCAACCAUCAGCAAGUUUUCAAGCAGGAAAGAACCCUGCUUCAAUGAAUCAGAACUGUAGCUUUAGUAGAAGUCCUGCGAUCAAUUACAGUCUUGUUUCUCCUCAGUCAAAUAAUAUCUCAUUUGGUGCUGGACAAGUAUUGGAUGGAAAUCUGAAAACACCAAGUGUGCUGAAUGGGUACUCAGGUGCUGGUUCCAUUUCUCCUUCCAUGUUAUCUUGCUCAAUAAAUGCUGAUAAUAUUCCUAAUAGGCAACUUCAGAACUCAACAUUAGCAUCUACUGCUGCCGGGCAAUUGCCAGGGUUUGCUCGUAAUGUGUCUGAUACCCAAGGUUCUUAUGGCUUCAAUUCAGGUCAAGUGCUUGAUCAGGGCCCACUGAGAAAUCUUGGAUUUGUUGGUAAAGGCAAUUCCAUUCCGAGCAGGUUUGCAGUGGAUGAAGCUGAAUCACCAAUGGGCAUCCUGGACUAUGGAAAGUUCCAAGGGGGGAGUAAUGGGAACAAAGUGAAGCAGGAGCCAAGUAUGGAUUUCGUUGAAAAUGGGAAAGUUUGCAUCCCCAUCAUACAAAAUUUUUCACCAAACGAUCUCAUGAGUGUUUUCUCAGAAUAGGUAUGCCUAGUUUGCUUUGGUAUUUAACUUUAUGCUUUAAGAAUAUUCUUUUAAUUACUUUACUGUUACUACUGUACUACUUUUACUUGUUAUGUGCUAUAUUUUAUUAACCAAAUAGCUCUAGAUAAUAUGAAAGUCAUCAGUUCAUUUACUGUUGUAAAAUUUGCAGAUUAAUGAGGUUUUGUUGUUUUCACCGGUGAUAAAGGAUGAUUGGUUUGUUUUGGUAGGUAAGCAAUGAUUGAGAACUUGAUACUCUGUCUAAUGUCAAACGAAUGGGCUGUCUAAUUUGUUAUGGUGGCAUUUGUCCUUUUUUAUUUUUUGUGGAUACAAACAAAGCAAUAUCAGUACCAUGUAAUCCCCACUCGAUCAGGUGGGGGACCGGAAACAGACCAAACAUUUGACAAUAUUAUAUGCACAAAGUUGCUCAUCUCUGAAAGUUUUUCCCUGGAAUAUCGGUCUCCCUAUAACUCCAAAAAUUGAGGAACUCAAGGGACGUUAUGCCGUGGAACCGUGACCCCAAUUUCUGUGGAAUGAAACAUGGUUUCCUUACAUGCCUAGAUGCACGAUCUGUGUGUUACGAAGGUGGAGGUGUAGUGGUGCCACUAGUGGAUUUUGGCUUAGUAGCUAUGAAGCACCGACACCUCUAGACGCCGAAGAAUCGCAGUGUCAGGACACGGGGACACGGCGGGACACCUCGGAGAUACGUACUAUCAUAUUUUAAUAUUAAAUUUUGAGGGGGACACGGUUGGGGACACGGCGGGGACACCGAUGGGGACACGGCCGGGGCCAAACUGCGAUUUUUUUUAAAAUUUUGGGGGCCAAACUGUAAUUUUUGAAAAAAUUGGGGGUCAAACUGUAAUUUUUUUUUAAAAAUUUGGGGCCAAAUUAUAAUUUUU
Molecule: RNA transcript, 3199 nt
Organism: Rhododendron vialii
Lineage: Eukaryota; Viridiplantae; Streptophyta; Magnoliopsida; Ericales; Ericaceae
Gene name: two-component response regulator ORR21
Exons: 6
Source: RefSeq, a predicted model, not a curated record